UACGUAGGGGCCAAGCGUUGUCCGGAUUUAUUGGGCGUAAAGAGCUCGUAGGCGGCUCGGUAAGUCAGGUGUGAAAACUCUAGGCUCAACCUAGAGACGCCACCUGAUACUGCCGUGGCUAGAGUCCGGUAGGGGAGCAUGGAAUUCCUGGUGUAGCGGUGAAAUGCGCAGAUAUCAGGAGGAACACCAGUGGCGAAGGCGGUGCUCUGGGCCGGAACUGACGCUGAGGAGCGAAAGCGUGGGGAGCAAACAGG
RNAcentral lists this ribosomal RNA (254 nucleotides) under uncultured bacterium. Its description in RNAcentral is "partial 16S ribosomal RNA". It matches the Rfam family "Bacterial small subunit ribosomal RNA", at positions 524 to 776 of the family's 1533-position model. The record is from RNAcentral.